Molecule: ribosomal RNA, 253 nt
Filed under: uncultured bacterium
Lineage: Bacteria
Description: partial 16S ribosomal RNA
Rfam family: Bacterial small subunit ribosomal RNA
Source: RNAcentral
GACGUAGGGCGCGAGCGUUGUCCGGAUUUAUUGGGCGUAAAGAGCUCGUAGGCGGCUUGUCGCGUCGUCCGUGAAAACCUGCAGCUCAACUGCAGGCUUGCGGUCGAUACGGGCAGGCUAGAGUUCGGUAGGGGAGACUGGAAUUCCUGGUGUAGCGGUGAAAUGCGCAGAUAUCAGGAGGAAUACCGAUGGCGAAGGCAGGUCUCUGGGCUAACACUGACGCUCAUGCACGAAAGCGUGGGGAGCAAACAGG